RNAcentral lists this ribosomal RNA (1408 nucleotides) under uncultured bacterium. RNAcentral describes it as "bacterial SSU rRNA". It matches the Rfam family "Bacterial small subunit ribosomal RNA". The record is from RNAcentral.
AGAGUUUGAUCCUGGCUCAGGACGAACGCUGGCGGCGUGCCUAAUACAUGCAAGUAGAACGCUGAAGAGAGGAGCUUGCUCUUCUUGGAUGAGUUGCGAACGGGUGAGUAACGCGUAGGUAACCUGCCUUGUAGCGGGGGAUAACUAUUGGAAACGAUAGCUAAUACCGCAUAACAAUGGAUGACACAUGUCAUUUAUUUGAAAGGGGCAAUUGCUCCACUACAAGAUGGACCUGCGUUGUAUUAGCUAGUAGGUGAGGUAACGGCUCACCUAGGCGACGAUACAUAGCCGACCUGAGAGGGUGAUCGGCCACACUGGGACUGAGACACGGCCCAGACUCCUACGGGAGGCAGCAGUAGGGAAUCUUCGGCAAUGGGGGCAACCCUGACCGAGCAACGCCGCGUGAGUGAAGAAGGUUUUCGGAUCGUAAAGCUCUGUUGUAAGCCAAGAACGAGUGUGAGAGUGGAAAGUUCACACUGUGACGGUAGCUUACCAGAAAGGGACGGCUAACUACGUGCCAGCAGCCGCGGUAAUACGUAGGUCCCGAGCGUUGUCCGGAUUUAUUGGGCGUAAAGCGAGCGCAGGCGGUUUGAUAAGUCUGAAGUUAAAGGCUGUGGCUCAACCAUAGUUCGCUUUGGAAACUGUCAAACUUGAGUGCAGAAGGGGAGAGUGGAAUUCCAUGUGUAGCGGUGAAAUGCGUAGAUAUAUGGAGGAACACCGGUGGCGAAAGCGGCUCUCUGGUCUGUAACUGACGCUGAGGCUCGAAAGCGUGGGGAGCGAACAGGAUUAGAUACCCUGGUAGUCCACGCCGUAAACGAUGAGUGCUAGGUGUUGGAUCCUUUCCGGGAUUCAGUGCCGCAGCUAACGCAUUAAGCACUCCGCCUGGGGAGUACGACCGCAAGGUUGAAACUCAAAGGAAUUGACGGGGGCCCGCACAAGCGGUGGAGCAUGCGGUUUAAUUCGAAGCAACGCGAAGAACCUUACCAGGUCUUGACAUCCCGAUGCUAUUUCUAGAGAUAGAAAGUUACUUCGGUACAUCGGUGACAGGUGGUGCAUGGUUGUCGUCAGCUCGUGUCGUGAGAUGUUGGGUUAAGUCCCGCAACGAGCGCAACCCCUAUUGUUAGUUGCCAUCAUUCAGUUGGGCACUCUAGCGAGACUGCCGGUAAUAAACCGGAGGAAGGUGGGGAUGACGUCAAAUCAUCAUGCCCCUUAUGACCUGGGCUACACACGUGCUACAAUGGUUGGUACAACGAGUUGCGAGUCGGUGACGGCAAGCUAAUCUCUUAAAGCCAAUCUCAGUUCGGAUUGUAGGCUGCAACUCGCCUACAUGAAGUCGGAAUCGCUAGUAAUCGCGGAUCAGCACGCCGCGGUGAAUACGUUCCCGGGCCUUGCACACACCGCCCGUCAA